GCAGAGGGGGUGCUGAGGUGGUGCGGUAUUGGGGAAAUGUCUGAAGAGCAGAAGGAGUUUCUGGACUGGUAAAGUAUAAUUGUGGUAUUUUUCAAGUGUCCACAGCAAAUGAGAUGCUGAAGGGAACAACAAACCCCAGUCGUACGAGCAAGAUACCAGAGGGGAGAGCAGUCCCUUAUGGGUAGCGAUGCAGUUGGAGGGCGAGAUCUUACUGGUGCAUCUGCUUUCCAGCUUCUGUAGUACUCUGCUAGUCACCUCCUCAAAGCUGCAUGUAUGCAUGUAACAAAAAACCCCAAAGCCUGCCACACCGCGAUGUCUGUCUGGAGCCGGCUGCUGCUGGAGCUGCCCCAGCCCGUGCCUCCCAGCAGCCAGGCGCUCAGAUCGAGCUGUCCCUCGCGUGGGGACAGCAGCUCCCCCGGGGGAUGGAGGACCAGAGCAUCACAGGGGAUGAGGCGAAGUGCCCGCCAGGACUCCAUUAGCUCUGACGCCUUCUCUUUAUGACGGACCUGUAGCUUCCCUUGGCGCUUAUUUUGAUGGCUUUCUUUCUCCCCCCAUCCCCAUGAUCUCCAUGUCUUGACUUUUUCAGGCACUUUUCUCCUAUAAGAAUAUUAAGCAUAUUUAAAAAACACUUAAAUGCUAAUGUGAAACCUGAAAAGAGGAUGUCAAACGCAAGAGACACUCUGAAGACAUGAUGUCUCUGUAGAAGGAUUUGACCCUGGUAAUCUAAUUUGCUUUACAUUUCAAAUGAUACUUCAUUCUCUUAUUAUAAGGCUCUGUGUCAUUGGCUCAUAAAGAUUACAAUUUCUUGUCUCCCAAUUGUAAUAAAUCCAAUUCAAGCACCCUCUUGAUUUGAAAUUUGUCACAACAACAUGCGGAGGGCACAGUUCCUGAGUUUUAU
Cygnus olor (mute swan) is the source of this 898-nucleotide long non-coding RNA. RefSeq lists it as uncharacterized. Lineage: Eukaryota; Metazoa; Chordata; Aves; Anseriformes; Anatidae. The record is from RefSeq and is a predicted model, not a curated record. The transcript is spliced from 3 exons.